AGACACCUCAGGGGGACCUGGUUGUGGCAUCUGCCACCUCACUGACAGCCUGAGUUGAUCGGGCUGACCUGGCUGGAGAGGUGGGUGUCCCCUUCCUCCCUGUGGCUCUGUGUGUGUCCCCUGAAGCCAUGUGUUCCAUCGAGGAGGAGGGCCACUCCCGACAGGAGAAGGCUGGGAUCCCGGUAAGAAUGAACUGCUGAGCUCCCUGAAGAACCGAAAACACAAGAUCCGCAGGGUAGCUGGCCCUGGGGGA
Molecule: small RNA, 253 nt
Filed under: Mesocricetus auratus (golden hamster)
Lineage: Eukaryota; Metazoa; Chordata; Mammalia; Rodentia; Cricetidae
Description: 7SK RNA (ENSMAUG00000004708.1)
Rfam family: 7SK RNA
About the family: 7SK was discovered as an abundant small nuclear RNA in the mid-70s but a possible function has only recently been suggested. Two independent studies have found that 7SK RNA binds the CDK9/cyclin T complex (known as elongation factor P-TEFb).
Source: Rfam by way of RNAcentral